RNAcentral lists this microRNA precursor (174 nucleotides) under Triticum aestivum (bread wheat). Its description in RNAcentral is "MIR2118 microRNA precursor family". It matches the Rfam family "MIR2118 microRNA precursor family". The record is from Rfam by way of RNAcentral. RNAcentral also lists the same sequence under 1 other name. Lineage: Eukaryota; Viridiplantae; Streptophyta; Magnoliopsida; Poales; Poaceae.
GCAGGGAAGAGGAAGAAAGAGACAGCAUAAGAGCGCUAGGAAUGGGAACAUAGAGAAAAUCUUAACUAUUUUGUUUUCACCUAUCGUAUUGGAGGUUCAAACAUUUAGUUGUGUGCUUUUCUGAGGCCUCCCAUUCCUAUGGUUCUUGAGCACUCCUUCCUCUCCCCUUUCGCU